GACGAACGCUGGCGGCGUGCCUAAUACAUGCAAGUAGAACGCACAGUUUAUACCGUAGCUUGCUACACCAUAGACUGUGAGUUGCGAACGGGUGAGUAACGCGUAGGUAACCUGCCUGGUAGCGGGGGAUAACUAUUGGAAACGAUAGCUAAUACCGCAUAAUAUUGAUUAUUGCAUGAUAAUUAAUUGAAAGGUGCAAUUGCACCACUACCAGCUGGACCUGCGUUGUAUUAGCUAGUAGGUGAGGUAACGGCUCACCUAGGCGACGAUACAUAGCCGACCUGAGAGGGUGAUCGGCCACACUGGGACUGAGACACGGCCCAGACUCCUACGGGAGGCAGCAGUAGGGAAUCUUCGGAAAUGGACGAAAGUCUGACCGAGCAACGCCGCGUGAGUGAAGAAGGUUUUCGGAUCGUAAAGCUCUGUUGUAAGAGAAGAACGGGUGUGAGAGUGGAAAGUUCACACUGUGACGGUACCUGAACAGAAAGGGACGGCUAACUACGUG
RNAcentral lists this ribosomal RNA (505 nucleotides) under uncultured bacterium. Its description in RNAcentral is "partial 16S ribosomal RNA". It matches the Rfam family "Bacterial small subunit ribosomal RNA", at positions 28 to 507 of the family's 1533-position model. The record is from RNAcentral.